AGUGAACGCUGGCGGUAGGCCUAACACAUGCAAGUCGAACGGCAGCACAGUAAGAGCUUGCUCUUACGGGUGGCGAGUGGCGGACGGGUGAGGAAUACAUCGGAAUCUACUUUUUCGUGGGGGAUAACGUAGGGAAACUUACGCUAAUACCGCAUACGGCCUACGGGUGAAAGCAGGGGAUCUUCGGACCUUGCGCGAUUGAAUGAGCCGAUGUCGGAUUAGCUAGUUGGCGGGGUAAAGGCCCACCAAGUCGACGAUCCGUAGCUGGUCUGAGAGGAUGAUCAGCCACACUGGAACUGAGACACGGUCCAGACUCCUAAGGGAGGCAGCAGUGGGGAAUAUUGGACAAUGGGCGCAAGCCUGAUCCAGCCAUACCGCGUGGGUGAAGAAGGCCUUCGGGUUGUAAAGACCUUUUGUUGGGAAAGAAAAGCAGCAGGUUAAUACCCCGCUGUUCUGACGGUUCCCAAAGAAUAAGCACCGGCUAACUUCGUG
RNAcentral lists this ribosomal RNA (492 nucleotides) under uncultured bacterium. RNAcentral describes it as "partial 16S ribosomal RNA". It matches the Rfam family "Bacterial small subunit ribosomal RNA", at positions 29 to 507 of the family's 1533-position model. The record is from RNAcentral.